RNAcentral lists this ribosomal RNA (425 nucleotides) under uncultured prokaryote. RNAcentral describes it as "bacterial SSU rRNA". It matches the Rfam family "Bacterial small subunit ribosomal RNA", at positions 355 to 774 of the family's 1533-position model. The record is from RNAcentral.
UGGGGAAUCAUGGUCAAUGGGCGAAAGCCUGAACCUGCGACGCCGCGUGAGUGAUGAAGGUCGUAAGAUCGUAAAACUCUUUUCAGGGAUCUUAAAGCCUGUCUGUCAACAACAGGCAGGUCUGACUCUCCCUGGAAGAAGCCCCAGCCAACUACGUGCCAGCAGCUGCGUUAAUACGUAGGGGGCGAGCGUUAUCCGGAAUUACUGGGUGUAAAGGGUAUGUAGGCGGCCCUUCAAGUCGCGUGUCAAAGUCCAGUGCUCAACGCUGGGUGUGCACGCGAUACUGACUGGCUUGAGUGCUGGAGAGGUGGGCGGAAUUCCCGGUGUAGUGGUAAAAUACGUAGAGAUCGGGAGGAACACCAGCGGCGCAGGCGGCUCACUGGACAGUAUCUGACGCUAAGAUACGAAAGCGUGGGGAGCAAACA